UCCUGGAAGGCCCAGGAGCCUUAAAAUACAUUGGGAACCCUGAGAAAGGAGGAAUUCACCCAAAUCUACAGGUACUGCAGAUGAAGACUGAUGGAAGGAAAAUCUGCAGGUUGGCUAGGCAAGACCAUCUGUAUCAGUAAUUACAAAAUCUGUAUGGAGUCACUUCCAGGACUGAAGACUUCCUUCCCCACAGCAACGCAGGUUGGUAGGAGACCCUGCUCUGCAGCUACUGAAGGGCUUGAUGGAUGAAGGCUCUGCCAUCUGGCAUGUUGUAAGUUGUUGCAACAGCAUAAAAGAACACAUGGAAAACUCUGACUGUUUCCAACUUUGACAAAGGGUGAUACGUCACUUUCAUUCCUAUUGCUCAGGAUUACUCUCACGUUGCCUCCCCUAAACUUAUAGGGCACAUAGGGCAGUGUUCAUAUAGGGCAGUGCAAGGAAUGUUUGCCAAUCAUAACCAUAAAAGGAGAAAAAAGAAACAGAGAAAUAAAUGGGACAAAUAGGAAUGUAAAAUAACAUGGUAUAAACAAGUCCAGAGAAAUCUAUAAAUUACAAUACACAAACGGAGUAUCCUCACAAGUAAAAAAGCAGGUCAUGUCAGAAGGGAUUUCUUAAAUCUACUUAUAUGAUGUUCAGAAGAGAGCCAUCAAAAAUGUUAGAACAAAUAAAGCUUAAAAAUAAAAAGGCAAAAAAGAAUAAAGAGGCAAAUAUCAAACAAAAGAAAGCUGAUACGGCUAUAUUUGUAUUAGAAAUAAUAGACGUUAAGAUUAAAAAAAUAAAUAUAAAGGAGGACACUCAUAAUAGUUUUUUAAAAGCCCAAUUCACCAGGAAGACAUAAAAAUUCUAAACUUAUGUGCACCUAAUAAAAUAGCAUCAAAUUACAUACAGUAAAAAUUGAUAAGUUGAAGAGAGAAUAUAGCCCACAAAGCUUAAAGUAUUUACUAUCUGGCUUUUUAUAGAAAAAGUUGGUGCCACUGU
Delphinapterus leucas (beluga whale) is the source of this 978-nucleotide non-coding RNA. The record is from RefSeq and is a predicted model, not a curated record. Lineage: Eukaryota; Metazoa; Chordata; Mammalia; Artiodactyla; Monodontidae.